This is an unclassified non-coding RNA of Pongo abelii (Sumatran orangutan), 117 nucleotides long. It matches the Rfam family "Metazoan signal recognition particle RNA". From Rfam's summary of the family: The signal recognition particle (SRP) is a universally conserved ribonucleoprotein. It is involved in the co-translational targeting of proteins to membranes. The record is from Ensembl. Lineage: Eukaryota; Metazoa; Chordata; Mammalia; Primates; Hominidae.
GCUGGGCGUGGUGGCUCAUGCCUGUAAUCCUAGCACUUUGGGAGGCCGAGGCAGGUGGAUCACCUGAGGUCUGGAGUUCAAGACCAGCCUGGCCAACAUGGUGAGACCCUGUCUCUA